This is a long non-coding RNA of Gekko japonicus, 257 nucleotides long. RefSeq lists it as uncharacterized. The transcript is spliced from 3 exons. Lineage: Eukaryota; Metazoa; Chordata; Lepidosauria; Squamata; Gekkonidae. The record is from RefSeq and is a predicted model, not a curated record.
CUUUUACUUUGUGAAAGGGCAUAAACAGGCCACAACAAAGAAGGAUGGCAAAUGCAGAGCUUUUAGUGGAAAGGUCUCCACACUGGUGAUACAAGGGGACUAGCGGACCAGGAGAUUGGUGUUGGAAAAUACCAUCAAGUCACAGCCAACUUAUGGCAACCCCAGAGGAUUUUCAAGUAAAGAAACAAAGAGAGCACCAGAAAGGAUGCUGCCGACUACCGACCGCAAGAACAAGACAACAACCGAAGAUCCGCCGC